AGCCUUUCCUGCCUGGCAGACUGCCGGGAGGGCGUCAGCUAUACGCCAGCUCUCCGUCCUCAUAGAUGCCGGUGUGUUUCUCUCAAGGAUGGAGAAUCAUGGGUGAGGGUCUACAACUAACUAGUAGAGGGAACAGACCAGGACACGAUGCCGACAGUAAUUUCCAAACUGCGACCUGAGAGAAAUAAGUAUUUAAAAAUAAUCCAAAGCCAAUAAUUUGGAAGCAUUAUUUA
This is a long non-coding RNA of Tupaia belangeri chinensis (Chinese tree shrew), 233 nucleotides long. RefSeq lists it as uncharacterized. The transcript has 3 exons. NCBI's taxonomy places the organism in Eukaryota, Metazoa, Chordata, Mammalia, Scandentia, Tupaiidae. The record is from RefSeq and is a predicted model, not a curated record.